UUUGUAUACAGUGACUGUGAUACAGUUGUAUAUAGUUUAUUGUUAUGGCACUUCAUUUGUUCACGCUCUUCUAUAUUGCUGUGUCAAUCUGUUUUAUUUAUCCAACGAGUGCGUUCGUUUAUGCAGGACUAACUGUCGAAGAGCUUUUCAGUUGCUGGCUCGGUAGCGAGUUUGAAAAUUUUGUUUUGUACCAUAUUCGACGUUCAUCUAUAACUAUACUCUCCCACUCACUUUUACCGUUAGGUUAUCUGGUGGGUUUAUGUCUGUUUAUCACUGAAGACCUGCAUAUGUUGUUCUUUGAAGGAGGAUACUUGUGGAACAUUUUUGUAAUUGCUUCAGUACUGCUACCUAUAGCAACAGCAUGUGUUAUAUGGACGUGGUGGAAAGACAACUGGAAACGUCAUCCAAUUUGCCAGACGUUGAGGUUAUUUGCUACCGAAAAUACAGCCUGGGAAUCUGUAGCAUCAGAUAUAAACUUGGAAUUUAGAAGGUUAGAUAAAUUCUGUGUGCAAACAAGUCCCGUGACCAAGGUAGUGGCAACAGACAACUGGGUUUUUUGGGUGCGACCAUAUGGUAUGGACUGUGCCCACCAGAGUGACACAGCCUUGAUUGUGUGUAGGAGUGACACUCAUCACAUUGCUCCUGAAAGUCCUAUUGGGACACAAUUCUUAAACAUUGAAGUUCGUCCUACAAGACAGUUUGUGCCAUCAUUCACAAUAAGGUUGGAAUCAACAGACUUCCGUGAUUUGCAAGACAAGAUUAGUCGUCCAAUAACAGUUCUGCAAAAUGUUACCUUGUUCCGCUCCCUGAGUGAUCAGUUCUUAGAAACUUUCCGUGAACUUGUUGCACAGAAUCCCCAUUAUAGGAUUGAUGAGCAACAGGAACUGGAACCUUGUGCUGGCUGUAUGCAGAUACCAUCAAAUGUAAAACUUGAAAGACAUUGUGAAAAUACAUCAGCUCCUGAUGCAUGUUCAGUAUGUUACUGCCGACCUAUGUGGUGUGUGGAUUGUAUGGGCCGAUGAAAGGUCUCAUGUUUCCACCUAUCAUUGAGCGUGUGUAAUGCACUGAGGUGUUGAAUGAGUAAAGAUAUAAUUUACUUGGAAGAUGUGACAAAGGUUCAAUCAUUUCAAGGACUGCUUAGAAGAGGGCAAGUAAAUGAGCAUUAACUCUUGAACAGAGCAGUAGACGCAUUUGAUGAGGAUGAAAUGCUAAAAGCAAAAAAUCAACAAUGUUUACAAGAAGACCAAUUUGGAUUUAGGAAAGGAAAAGGAACCAGCAAAGCUAUAAUAGUGCCAUGAAUGAUCUUAGGAAGAAGAAUUGAUGUGAACAUUGACCUAGAGAAGGCAUGGUUUGCUUCAAGACAGGAUCAGCAGCAUCCAGAAACAUGGCUGAGUUCAAAGUGCACUUGCCCUCUGUGUCGCAGUACAUUUUGUAUCCUUGAUGUGUGCAUGAUACAAAAGUGACAAUAAAAGUAUUUUUGUAUGUUUAAGAUAAACCAGAUUUUUUUAUAUUUGUAAUUGUGUAUCUUCAUAAUAAAGAAUUUUCGUUCCA
Molecule: RNA transcript, 1551 nt
Organism: Schistocerca nitens (vagrant locust)
Lineage: Eukaryota; Metazoa; Arthropoda; Insecta; Orthoptera; Acrididae
Gene name: E3 ubiquitin-protein ligase TM129
Exons: 7
Source: RefSeq, a predicted model, not a curated record